GUGGCUUCACGGAAAGCAAAUUUCAAAAUCAGCCUCCCAGUGGAAAAUUCACCCAUGCAGAUGAUCAACUGUGAAAAUCUGUGUGCAAGUUUGUGGGCCAUCAUCAAAUUUAGCAUCUACGGCUAAAUGUUUCCGAUGCAACAAUUUCAUCUCAAGGCCCGUAUUAACUGAAAAUUGCUCCGGGGGAAUUAAAAGCUGACAUCUGCAAAGAAUUGUUAUCCAACACCUGCCUCUCCAAUUAAGAAUACUGACCUUUUGAAGUUUUAAGGAAGGAUAGUUUUUAAAUUUGUUUCUCUUCAGUUACUUUAAAAUCAAUCUUUCCAUCGUCCUUGGACCUUGAACCCUAAAUCACAGAGUGCACUCUUUCAAUUUAAUCACGCGGCGAUGAAUUAAGUAGCAAGGAGGGGCUGUCAGAACUAGCUUACAAAGGAAGGCCUGGGGGUGUCGUAGAGGAGGGAAAAAGCAGACUUCUGAGGGUUGUGGUCCUCUGCCAGAUUGCCAUUUUCCUGUACAGUUUCCUUUUAACAGAGAACUAAGACUGCUUCAUGCCUGUAUUUCUCAGGGGGUUCUGGGAGUUGGAACAGGCCAAAUUUUCCUACCUGCAGCUUGAAGAUUAAGGACUUAGAGACUUCUUCAGAGGCUGCUUCUCCCAAGUUACUGAUAGACUGAGGACAGGAACUACUGAUUCUUUGAAUGAAAAAAAAGAAAAAACCAAAAAAACUGGCCCAGUUUGGGGUCAUCCUGCCCCUUAAAUGGAAGCUGUCCACCAUGACAUGGUGGGAUAUUUAUGGAAGACAUUGGACAUCUUGCAGGAAAUGGUGGAGUGGUGUCACGUUUGCAUCAUCCCUUCUGUAAAACACACCGAAACAAAGACCCACCUAAAGACGUGGAAACGCGCGAGGGCCAUUUCUCUUUGCCAGACGUAAGCAAAUUCUGUCCAACCUUCAGCCAAGUUUGCCAAGAGGAGUCAUUUUGGUUGUGAGUUCCGUCUUUUCCUGUUAGCUUUUCACUGACAACUGCAGGGUUGUCAACUACUGGGACUUGAUAGAAACCCUGUGACUUCCCACAUGUCGAGUGAACAGUCCAGCAAUAAAUAGGAGGCAACAUAAAAACCUGAGGUGAAA
This 1124-nucleotide long non-coding RNA is filed under the name Felis catus (domestic cat). RNAcentral's name for it is "lncRNA (ENSFCAG00000048095.1)". The record is from RNAcentral. Lineage: Eukaryota; Metazoa; Chordata; Mammalia; Carnivora; Felidae.